Cuculus canorus (common cuckoo) is the source of this 2740-nucleotide long non-coding RNA. RefSeq lists it as uncharacterized. Lineage: Eukaryota; Metazoa; Chordata; Aves; Cuculiformes; Cuculidae. The record is from RefSeq and is a predicted model, not a curated record. The transcript is spliced from 3 exons.
CCAUUUUAUGCCUCUAGCUGCAACUGAGCCCCUCCGUGUCUCACUUGCUCCAAAACCCAGGUAAGGUACCGACCACGUACAGGAUGCCCAGCUGCAUUCAGCACAGAAGAAGAGGUUAGAAGGGGACACAGACACAGCCCUACAAAAACCAAGCCCCAGGCCAUAGAAGAACUUACUUACCAUAUGGCAUCUUCAAAAGAGAGCACCUCCCUACUUAUCCACUUACUGGGUACAUCCAUGUACGAAAUAAGUCCUCUGUAACAACCUAGGCAGACCUUUCCUGAAGCUUAAAAGGGAUAACUAAUUUUGUCAUACAGUUAAUGGUUCAGAGGACUACACCUUCAUUCCAAGCCUGAUUCUGCUUACAAGAAAUACACAGAACCAUGAAAAUUGACAUUGCCUUUGUCCCAGGAGAACAGGAACUGCUUUGUGAUGAAAAUGAUCUUUGCCUGAGGCCUGCAGUAAAAAAAAACAGGAUAAAAUCCUGUACCUUCUACCUCAGUUUGUGUCAUCAGAAUUGCUGAAGAAUUGGAGACCUAGUCUUCCAUACUGGAAAAGCUGCUUACAGCCUUUACAAAAACAAUGGAUUAGAAGCUGAUGCCGUCAAAACAGAGCUCCACACCACCAUAGUUACAGAGUAAAAUUAUGCCUGGUUUUCCUCUCAAGCAGUCCUCGGUAUUGACCACACCUUUGAUUUUCUCAAAGUGCACUUUUUGUCCUUCUCAGAGUGUCUACUUCUGGACUUCAGCCAUAACCGUCUGAUUCUUUUUGAUUCCUCCCUUCAGUACCUCCGCGCUAUGAUAAAAGGUUAUCCAAAGAAUAGUCAAUCAGAGACUAUCUAAUGUAGAUCUUUGUAAGAAGAGACCUUUGCUUUAAGGAGCAAUAAAAUGUCAUUUAAAAAAACACACAACCAGCAUCUGAUUUAGCAGCCUUUGAACUCAGGAGCCUGAGUGUGGAGGUUCACAGUAUCCAGCUAUUUUUUCAGGUGUACACCACUGACACUUGGAGGUCAUAUUUUUCAAAUUUUCUUAGCUAUCAUAACACUAAGAGAUUACUUUUUAAAACAAGGAAAAAUAAAGCUGACACUCCAGAGAAAGUGAAGAGGAAAAUCUGUUUCUUCUGAUCCUUCUGGGGCUUUUUAAAUUCAAAUCGUGCAGUUAGGGUGGACUCAGAAUCUUCAAGAACAAAUCUGAGUAUCAAUAUUCACUAGAGACUCUAUUGCUACUAGGUAAAUUGAAAUAGAUUCUGAAAAAAUCUAUUUUACAAUGCACUAAGUAUUACUUACAAUGCAUUAAGUAUGAGUGCUUACAUAUUAAGGUAAAAAGCAACAACACCACUACACACUAGCUAAUAUGUUUUCAUUGUUUUAUUUCUAUAGUGAAAUUUACCUCCCCACAUGGAAAAAUAAAGCAAAUAGUAAUAUAAACCCUAAAUAUAGUUUCCAUAAUGACCUUAUAAUAAGCAGAGCUGGUGGCUCCAUGUGUUAUAUAGUUCUACUAAAAAAAAAUGCCUGCUUAUUAACUUGCUAUACGCAGCCAUUUUUGCUGAAGUUCUCAACACCAAACAUCUACCCAAGCAGACCGUUUUUAAAAAUUUUCACCAAAUGCUUUCAUCUAUUUUCUGAACUGUAUUAGAAAACCAGUAAGGGUAUUGUUCUCCCCAAAUUUAAAAUUCUGAUAGUCUUUGAGACUUCCAGGGCCUUAUACUUCAAAGCAGGAAUGUGAUAUUUGGCAAGAUCUGAUCUUUUCAAUGGGAGGUGAUUUACCAGGCAAACCUUUCAAAACACGGUGAAGUGCCAGGCUACUGAAAUGUCAGAUUUUAGAGUUUCAUGUCUCAAGAUCUGGUCUCCAAUAGGCAUGGUCCAGCCAAAGAUCAACAUGGAUCCUCUCAAUAUCUGAAAAUUCCUGGCACAGAUGGGUCAGUGCUGGGUGAAGAUUUGAUGCAAGCUCCUGAGACCUCUUUCCUCUGUGUUCAUGGUGGACUUCCAAUAAGGAUCUGGCAGCCUGGCUCAGACAUGGUUGUUCUCAUGGGACCUUCAUUUUCCCGUCCUGUUGGGAAUAUCAGAGCACUCAAAGCUGUUGAGGACCCUAAAAAAUCAAUCCUUUGAAUCCAUGCAGUGCUUUGUACAGUACGUGUGAACAUGUUCACGUAUGCACACACUGUAUAUAGAACAGGCAUAUGUAUUCAUAUACACAAACCCACACUGAUUGUUCAGAAAACUCUGAUUCUUGAUACUUCAAAUUCGGGACCUGAAGUUAUUGAAUACAUCAGAUCUUUGUUUCUGUCUGCCUUUGUUCACCAUUCAUAAAACACAGACAAUUGUUUUUCCUUAUUUUAUGUCAGUGUUGUGAAAAUAAGUUCCUUACUGCAUGAGCCAUCCAGCGCUGCAGUGAGGAGUGCCAUAAACAUGUCCACAAGGAGAAAAGGAAUUCUGUCUACUGACCAGGAUUUGAAUACUGUAAAGAACAUAGAACAUGUGGCCACACACCGUAUAGCUAAAAGACAACACUGGACAGCUGUUUAUUGUUUCAGGCUCUGAGUCUAUCAAAGAUCCCAUGGAAGAAACUAAAUUAGACCAGCUAAUGAACAAACUUAUUUAAACAUGAUAUUGAUUCAAGGACAGUCUGAAUUCUGGAUUUGAGAACUUACGGCUGCUUGCUUACACACCUUCUUUUGUAUCUUGUAUUUUAUAACAUUCUUUUAAUUUUGUUGUGUCAUGUGAGAACCUCAUGAGGUUCGA